GGUGAGAGGGGCCUACCUGGACCAAAAGGAUACAGUGGAAACCCUGGAAUCAGGGGUAACAUUGGAUCAUGGGGUGAGGUUGGGCCUGGUGGUCCUCCAGGUCACAGAGGACCGCAAGGUCCCAUCGGCCCUCGGGGAGUUACAGGUUAUCUUGGUAAGGAUGGAACGCAAGGACCGACUGGACCAGGUGGUGUUAAAGGAGA
Molecule: long non-coding RNA, 203 nt
Organism: Cololabis saira (Pacific saury)
Lineage: Eukaryota; Metazoa; Chordata; Actinopteri; Beloniformes; Belonidae
Exons: 3
Source: RefSeq, a predicted model, not a curated record